This 1048-nucleotide ribosomal RNA is filed under the name uncultured Propionibacterium sp. Its description in RNAcentral is "bacterial SSU rRNA". It matches the Rfam family "Bacterial small subunit ribosomal RNA", at positions 339 to 1396 of the family's 1533-position model. Lineage: Bacteria; Bacillati; Actinomycetota; Actinomycetes; Propionibacteriales; Propionibacteriaceae. The record is from RNAcentral.
CUACGGGAGGCAGCAGUGGGGAAUAUUGCACAAUGGGCGGAAGCCUGAUGCAGCAACGCCGCGUGCGGGAUGACGGCCUUCGGGUUGUAAACCGCUUUCGCCUGUGACGAAGCGUGAGUGACGGUAAUGGGUAAAGAAGCACCGGCUAACUACGUGCCAGCAGCCGCGGUGAUACGUAGGGUGCGAGCGUUGUCCGGAUUUAUUGGGCGUAAAGGGCUCGUAGGUGGUUGAUCGCGUCGGAAGUGUAAUCUUGGGGCUUAACCCUGAGCGUGCUUUCGAUACGGGUUGACUUGAGGAAGGUAGGGGAGAAUGGAAUUCCUGGUGGAGCGGUGGAAUGCGCAGAUAUCAGGAGGAACACCAGUGGCGAAGGCGGUUCUCUGGGCCUUUCCUGACGCUGAGGAGCGAAAGCGUGGGGAGCGAACAGGCUUAGAUACCCUGGUAGUCCACGCUGUAAACGGUGGGUACUAGGUGUGGGGUCCAUUCCACGGGUUCCGUGCCGUAGCUAACGCUUUAAGUACCCCGCCUGGGGAGUACGGCCGCAAGGCUAAAACUCAAAGGAAUUGACGGGGCCCCGCACAAGCGGCGGAGCAUGCGGAUUAAUUCGAUGCAACGCGUAGAACCUUACCUGGGUUUGACAUGGAUCGGGAGUGCUCAGAGAUGGGUGUGCCUCUUUUGGGGUCGGUUCACAGGUGGUGCAUGGCUGUCGUCAGCUCGUGACGUGAGAUGUUGGGUUAAGUCCCGCAACGAGCGCAACCCUUGUUCACUGUUGCCAGCACGUUAUGGUGGGGACUCAGUGGAGACCGCCGGGGUCAACUCGGAGGAAGGUGGGGAUGACGUCAAGUCAUCAUGCCCCUUAUGUCCAGGGCUUCACGCAUGCUACAAUGGCUGGUACAGAGAGUGGCGAGCCUGUGAGGGUGAGCGAAUCUCGGAAAGCCGGUCUCAGUUCGGAUUGGGGUCUGCAACUCGACCUCAUGAAGUCGGAGUCGCUAGUAAUCGCAGAUCAGCAACGCUGCGGUGAAGCGUUCCCGGGCCUUGUACACACCGCCAU